Molecule: ribosomal RNA, 264 nt
Filed under: uncultured archaeon
Lineage: Archaea
Description: partial 16S ribosomal RNA
Rfam family: Archaeal small subunit ribosomal RNA
Source: RNAcentral
ACAGUCACACAUUAGAUACCCGUGUAGUCCUAGCCGUAAACGAUACUCGCUAGGUGUCGGCCACGGUGCGACCGUUGUCGGUGCCGUAGGGAAGCCGUGAAGCGAGCCACCUGGGAAGUACGGCCGCAAGGCUGAAACUUAAGGAAUUGGCGGGGGAGCACAACAACGGGUGGAGCUUGCGGUUUAAUUGGAUUCAACGCCGGAAAUCUUACCGGGACCGACAGCAACAUGAAGGCCAAGCUGAAGACUUUGCCGGAUUAGCUG